CGUGUAGGCGGUGCGGUAAGUUGGGCGUGAAAUCCCCGAGCUUAACUCGGGUGGGCCGUUCAAGACUGCCGUGCUAGGGUGCGGGAGAGGGAAGUGGAAUUUCCGGUGUAGCGGUGAAAUGCGUAGAUAUCGGGAGGAACACCUGCGGCGAAGGCGGCUUCCUGGACCGUAACCGACGCUGAGGCGCGAAAGCUAGGGGAGCAAACAGGAUUAGAUACCCUGGUAGUCCUAGCCCUAAACGAUGAGCACUGGGUGUGGCCCCUCACGAGGCCGUGCCGAAGCUAGCGCAUUAAGUGCUCCGCCUGGGGAGUACGGUCGCAAGGCUGAA
RNAcentral lists this ribosomal RNA (328 nucleotides) under uncultured bacterium. Its description in RNAcentral is "bacterial SSU rRNA". It matches the Rfam family "Bacterial small subunit ribosomal RNA", at positions 568 to 898 of the family's 1533-position model. The record is from RNAcentral.